GACGAACGCUGGCGGCGUGCUUAACACAUGCAAGUCGAACGGAAAGGCCCUGCUUUUGUGGGGUGCUCGAGUGGCGAACGGGUGAGUAACACGUGAGUAACCUGCCCUUGACUUUGGGAUAACUUCAGGAAACUGGGGCUAAUACCGGAUAGGAUCUCCUGCUGCAUGGUGGGGGUUGGAAAGUUUCGGCGGUUGGGGAUGGACUCGCGGCUUAUCAGCUUGUUGGUGGGGUAGUGGCUUACCAAGGCUUUGACGGGUAGCCGGCCUGAGAGGGUGACCGGCCACAUUGGGACUGAGAUACGGCCCAGACUCCUACGGGAGGCAGCAGUGGGGAAUAUUGCAGAAUGGGCGGAAGCCUGAUGCAGCAACGCCGCGUGCGGGAUGACGGCCUUCGGGUUGUAAACCGCUUUCGCCUGUGACGAAGCGUGAGUGACGGUAAUGGGUAAAGAAGCACCGGCUAACUACGUG
RNAcentral lists this ribosomal RNA (468 nucleotides) under uncultured bacterium. Its description in RNAcentral is "partial 16S ribosomal RNA". It matches the Rfam family "Bacterial small subunit ribosomal RNA", at positions 28 to 507 of the family's 1533-position model. The record is from RNAcentral.